RNAcentral lists this non-coding RNA (30 nucleotides) under Rattus norvegicus (Norway rat). The record is from RNAcentral. Lineage: Eukaryota; Metazoa; Chordata; Mammalia; Rodentia; Muridae.
UGAAAAUCUUUGUGAAAGUUCUUGAGGCCU